UGGGGAAUAUUGCACAAUGGGCGCAAGCCUGAUGCAGCCAUGCCGCGUGUGUGAAGAAGGCCUUCGGGUUGUAAAGCACUUUCAGCGAGGAGGAAGGUGGUGAGCUUAAUACGCUCAUCAAUUGACGUUACUCGCAGAAGAAGCACCGGCUAACUCCGUGCCAGCAGCCGCGGUAAUACGGAGGGUGCAAGCGUUAAUCGGAAUUACUGGGCGUAAAGCGCACGCAGGCGGUUUGUUAAGUCAGNUGUGAAAUCCCCGGGCUCAACCUGGGAACUGCAUUUGAAACUGGCAAGCUAGAGUCUCGUAGAGGGGGGUAGAAUUCCAGGUGUAGCGGUGAAAUGCGUAGAGAUCUGGAGGAAUACCGGUGGCGAAGGCGGCCCCCUGGACGAAGACUGACGCUCAGGUGCGAAAGCGUGGGGCAGCAAACAGGAUUAGAUACCCUGGUAGUCCACGCUGUAAACGAUGUCGAUUUGGAGGUUGUGCCCCUUGAGGCGUGGCUUCCGGAGCUAACG
Molecule: ribosomal RNA, 512 nt
Filed under: uncultured bacterium
Lineage: Bacteria
Description: partial 16S ribosomal RNA
Rfam family: Bacterial small subunit ribosomal RNA
Source: RNAcentral